CCUCCUGCUGGAGAACCUGACAGAAAGCCAGCCUUUGAGGAACCCUACAGGAUGGCAAGAGAUGUUCUGGCUGUGUAAGUAGCUGCUCUCAGGACGCUCAUACCAACCCAUAUAGAGGAGAUGCUACCUCAUCUCCCUUUCUGGAACAGAACUCUGGGCUCUGGCAGGAUGCCCAUGGGUCAAGGUCACCAGGAAACACGAAAUCCUCUCAGGGCUCGUCUGCUGGGUCACAUCCAGGUCUACAUCCGUGUCCAGUAGAAGCUGCCUGGUGGCCAACCUACCCCCUCCACAG
Molecule: long non-coding RNA, 292 nt
Organism: Eptesicus fuscus (big brown bat)
Lineage: Eukaryota; Metazoa; Chordata; Mammalia; Chiroptera; Vespertilionidae
Exons: 3
Source: RefSeq, a predicted model, not a curated record